RNAcentral lists this ribosomal RNA (378 nucleotides) under Triticum aestivum (bread wheat). RNAcentral's name for it is "partial small subunit ribosomal RNA". Lineage: Eukaryota; Viridiplantae; Streptophyta; Magnoliopsida; Poales; Poaceae. The record is from RNAcentral.
AUGGAGUGCCCCAACAACCUCUGCUGCAGCAAGGAUGGGUACUGCGGCCUGGGCUUCGACUACUGCAGCGCUGCCGCCGGCUGCCAAAGCGGCGCCUGCUACAACAACAAGAUCUGGGGCGCACAGGCCGGUGGUGCAUUCAAAUAUGGUUACUGUGGCUUAGGACCGGAGUUCUGCGGGGCUGGCUGCCAAAACGGUGCUUGUAGCACGGACAAGCCGUGUGGCAACCAGGCUAAUGGUGCACGAUGCACCAACAACUAUUGUUGCAGCCAGUAUGGAUCUUGUGGGCUUGGCAAGGAUUAUUGUGGUACCAACUGCCAGAGCGGUGCAUGCUACAAUGAUUCAAUCCUGGCUAACAUACUCAAGUGUGUACCUUGA